GAUGAACGCUGGCGGCGUGCCUAAUACAUGCAAGUCGAGCGAACAGACGAGGAGCUUGCUCCUCUGACGUUAGCGGCGGACGGGUGAGUAACACGUGGAUAACCUACCUAUAAGACUGGGAUAACUUCGGGAAACCGGAGCUAAUACCGGAUAAUAUAUUGAACCGCAUGGUUCAAUAGUGAAAGACGGUUUUGCUGUCACUUAUAGAUGGAUCCGCGCCGCAUUAGCUAGUUGGUAAGGUAACGGCUUACCAAGGCAACGAUGCGUAGCCGACCUGAGAGGGUGAUCGGCCACACUGGAACUGAGACACGGUCCAGACUCUUACGGGAGGCAGCAGUAGGGAAUCUUCCGCAAUGGGGGAAAGCCUGACGGAGCAACGCCGCGUGAGUGAUGAAGGUCUUCGGAUCGUAAAACUCUGUUAUUAGGGAAGAACAAAUGUGUAAGUAACUAUGCACGUCUUGACGGUACCUAAUCAGAAAGCCACGGCUAACUACGUG
RNAcentral lists this ribosomal RNA (497 nucleotides) under uncultured bacterium. Its description in RNAcentral is "partial 16S ribosomal RNA". It matches the Rfam family "Bacterial small subunit ribosomal RNA", at positions 28 to 507 of the family's 1533-position model. The record is from RNAcentral.